GACGAACGCUGGCGGCGUGCUUAACACAUGCAAGUCGAACGGAAAGGCCCUGCUUUUGUGGGGUGCUCGAGUGGCGAACGGGUGAGUAACACGUGAGUAACCUGCCCUUGACUUUGGGAUAACUUCAGGAAACUGGGGCUAAUACCGGAUAGGAGCUCCUGCUGCAUGGUGGGGGUUGGAAAGUUUCGGCGGUCGGGAUGGACUCGCGGCUUAUCAGCUUGUUGGUGGGGUAGUGGCUUACCAAGGCUUUGACGGGUAGCCGGCCUGAGAGGGUGACCGGCCACAUUGGGACUGAGAUACGGCCCAGACUCCUACGGGAGGCAGCAGUGGGGAAUAUUGCACAAUGGGCGGAAGCCUGAUGCAGCAACGCCGCGUGCGGGAUGACGGCCUUCGGGUUGUAAACCGCUUUCGCCUGUGACGAAGCGUGAGUGACGGUAAUGGGUAAAGAAGCACCGGCUAACUACGUG
RNAcentral lists this ribosomal RNA (467 nucleotides) under uncultured bacterium. RNAcentral's name for it is "partial 16S ribosomal RNA". It matches the Rfam family "Bacterial small subunit ribosomal RNA", at positions 28 to 507 of the family's 1533-position model. The record is from RNAcentral.